ACCUGACCUCACCCUCUCACCCUCUCACCCUCUCACCCUCUCACCCUCUCACCCUCUCACCUGUCCAAACCAUCUCACUUUCUCACCCUCUCACCCUCUCACCCUCUCACUGUCACUGUCAUGGAUGGAGGACAGGGACUGUAGCAAAUUGACACAGACACUGUAGCAAGUCCUUGAUAAGCACACGGCUGCUGCCAUUGGAUCGUCUGUCUGUCCAUCACAUGUUUGUUGUCCUGUCAUCACUCCUAAUAUGGACACUGAAGCAGGAAGUGGACACCGAUGCGGGCCCGGAGCUGGGCCUGAUCCGGCUCAGUGCUGGCUGCCCGGUUUGUUCCCUUCUUCCUCCUUUCCCUCCUUACUGUGAGGUUUUCCCUGGCAUGGGAGGGUGGCAUCGGACCACACUGUGCCCACCACACUGGCAUAGGAAGAUGGCAUCAGACCACACUGUGCCCACCAUACUGGCAUGGAAAAGUGGCAUCAGACCACACUGUGCCCACCACACUGGCAUGGGAAGAUGGCAUCAGACCACACUGUGCCCACCAUACUGGCAUGGGAGGGAGUUCAUGCCUGUGUGCGUGAGGUUUCCUCUUCACUGUGACGGACUUUUAGUGUAUGGUGCAUUUCUCUGCUGUGAAGGGUUAUGAAGCAUUAUGAAGGGUUAUGAAGGCAUGAUAUUAAUGUCACAGUAGAUGUCACUUUCCCCAUGUUGUAUUACUUCCCCCAUGUUACAGUCUAACUACACAAUUAAGUACGAUAUAUAACACUGGUGCCACACUGAGUAACAUUAACACAGGCUAGUGUUAGGGGUGAGAUUGGGAACAGGUUUUGGAUUCCUCUCUACAUACAAGUACAGACUGUUAGUUAGCUAGUUAGUGUGUUACAAUGUAAUUACAAUGUUAUAAAGGCACUAUAAAGCACUACCCUGUAAUAAGGGUGUAUUACACCAGCCUUGUUACAUCGUGACCAUACCCCUUGAAUGCAACAACAAUUAUUAUUAUUAUUAUUAUUAUGUUCAUUAUUAUUAUUAUUAUUAUUAUUAUUAUUAGUAUGUAAAAAGACUUGAUGCUAUAUGCUAAUAUAACCCCUAACUGUAACCCCACUCCUGGUUCAAUCUAAUGACAGCAUAUUCAUAUUUAAUUACUCUACACAAAUGAACUAUAACAGAGCACAGACAGAGCUACCUUGCACUUAAUCGUGUAGUGCCAUGGUAACGAGGGGUAUGUAACUUAAUCGUGUAGUGCCAUGGUAACGAGGGUUAUGUAACUUAAUCGUGUAGUGGCGUUGUAACGAGGGUUAUGUAAGUUAAUCAUGUAGUGCCAUGGUAACGAGGGCUAUGUAAUAGCCAUUAGUAUCUGUGUUACGUCUCCUACUCAUUCGGACUGUAAACGAGGUAGUUCACUAGCAUGAAUCAUACUGGUGUAUCCUGGGCAGCCUGCGUCACUGGGACAGAAACACGCAUCCGUCAAACCAGACCAGGACGUGGCUGGAUCCGUUUCAGACCCACACCAGGACGUGGCUGGAUCCGUUUCAGACGCACACCAGGACGUGGCUGGAUCCGUUUCAGACCCACACCAGGACGUGGCUGGAUUCCGUUUCACUCUCUGCAGCGGUGGAGGAUUCUGUUGAGCUGUAUCAUCACUUUUAGGAACGGGAACUGAAAUAAUAACCAACCCUUUCUACAGCUUCUGCCACAACCACUUAACCACGCAGGGUUCAACACCCAUCACCAGCAAGAGUAAAUGAAUAGACUUCAGAAACAUCCAGAUGAGAAACUCUUCCUGUGCACAGAGGCAGGCAAACAAGAGCAGGAGCUGAGUCCAGUCUUGUGCUCAAGGCGUCUCUGACAACCGAGCCGCUGAACCUUUUCAACCAAUCUCAUCCGUCAGCUUCAUUAGCCAGGGUCAUGCAGAUACAUGCAGUAAGAGAGAGAAAGAAAGAAAGAAAGAAAGAGAGAAAGAAAGAAAGAGAGAAAGAAAGAAAGCCAGGGAGAAAAGGGAGCAAAAGCUGUCUGUCCACAUGUGGCUCUGGGGUGUAGUAGUUAACCACGGCAUACCUGUCUGUCUGAGUGCAUACCUGUCUGUCUGAGUGCAUACCUGUCUGUCUGAGUGCAUACCUUUCUGUCCGUGUGCGCUGGACUGUGUGAUGAGAUAGCAAGCCAUGCAGGAACUGAAGGCCAGUGACUUUUCCCUUGUACGAUCUCAAACAGACCAAAGCUUCGCUUCACAAAUCAUAAAGCAUGAGUGGCCAUGACAACAAGCUCAGAACGGAGUGUGUGUGUGUGUGUGUGUGUGUGUGUGUGUGUGUGUGUGCGUGCGUGUGUGUGAGAGAGAGUGAACACACAGCGCUUUGUCUGAGCCCCUCUGCGUGCAGUCUUCCGCUGUCUGUCUAACCACCAGACGCCGACCCAGCGCAGGUCUCGCAUGCAUCUGAAAAACCUGGACCAGACUCCAGACUGGAUCUAAAAUCUGGACCGGACUCCAGACUGGAUCCACGCCUGACUGGGCUGGGGUGCACUCUCUCUCCUGCAUCCAGUGUUGUCAGGAAUGAGUCUGUCUGGGUCUGGCUACGUGUCUUUGAUGUUAACUCUUCACGGCAAAAAAGGAAGGUAUCCUGUGGGUCCUGAUCGUCAUCUUUUUGUUUCCAGACGGAUGGUAAUACUGAACUUAAACAGACAUGAUAUAACAAGGCGAGAAUAACAACAACAUCAAGUCUUUUAGUCUCUCAUAUGUAGCGAUAUGUGUAUUAUAUUAGUGUGUCAAAACACUUAGUGUUUAUUUAUUCAUGUAUUUAUUUGUCAGUGAAGUCACUGGAUGUGUUCAUGGCACACACACACACUCACAAACGCACACACUCACACACAAACGCUCACAAACGCACACACUCACAAACGCACAAAAACACACAACACUCUACCCCUCUGACACAGUGCUGUCUGAGACUUGGCAAUAAUACCUUUUUUUUUGUCUUUCUGAUGUCAGUGUAUGUGUGUGUAAAUAAAGAGCGGCACAGUCGAGUAUAUAUUUUGACUUGAGAUUUCCAGCUGCAUCUCAACAAGCCUUGAGACAAUUAAGCCUUCGAACUUAAUCUCUAUUCAGCUUCAGCAAGAUCUCUUUGUCCAGGUUGGCCCUUGAGUACAACAUGACACAUGGAACAACCAUCAUCCUGUCAUGUUAUAACAGCAACCAAAACCCAAUCUUAAAAUCACUUCACCUCCAUUCCCGAAGCUGAAACCACUGCAUGAACAAGUUAGGCAGAGGGAGAGUAUAACGUAGCAAGACUGCUCAACUGUAAACUGCUUAACGGAUAAACUGUGGGAACUUCUUAUCACCUGUUGUGUUUCAUUUGGGUUGUGCUUUGUAGCAGUGUCACACACACCUGGUCUAGGGACAAUAGUACAGAUCACACACCUGGUCUAGGGACAAUAUUACACACACACCUGGUCUAGGGACAAUAUUACACACACACCUGUAGGGACAAUAUUACAGACCACACACCUGGUCUAGGGACAAUAUUACAGUAUUAUAUUUUGAGGAUCCAAACGUUCAAAUUGUUUUAUUAUUAUUAUUAUCAUUUUUGUAGAAUAUGUAGUGCAAUAAUUUGGCUUGAUUUUGCCUUGUAGCAAGACAUAAUGUAGAUGAAUGACUUCUAGAGCCUUGGGUUGGGGAUAGGGAGGCUUCACGUGCACUGUCUGUAUGGGAUUGGAAAAGGAUUACGGUUCCGUGCAGAACGUCAUUCUGAAGAAGCAUGAUUUUGAGCCAUUUCGAUUCAACACCAAAACCUACAUUUUGUUAAUUCAUGUCGUAUGUCAGUAUGUUAUCAGGUAUGUGCUGUUGUUGCGAUGUCAGCCAAUGGUGGAGCAUUGCAUUGCAAAGGAGAUUGCUGAUUGGUAGCAAUCUCAUCGUCUUGUAUGCAUGGUAACCUUGAUUGUGAACUCACCCAAUCACGUUUCAAUAAAUGUCCAGGACAACAAUCAGA
Clupea harengus (Atlantic herring) is the source of this 3975-nucleotide long non-coding RNA. The record is from Ensembl. NCBI's taxonomy places the organism in Eukaryota, Metazoa, Chordata, Actinopteri, Clupeiformes, Clupeidae.